RNAcentral lists this long non-coding RNA (1393 nucleotides) under Salmo salar (Atlantic salmon). RNAcentral's name for it is "lncRNA (ENSSSAG00000121819.1, ENSSSAG00020080021.1)". The record is from RNAcentral. Lineage: Eukaryota; Metazoa; Chordata; Actinopteri; Salmoniformes; Salmonidae.
CGCACCAUCAUGAAGGCUCAAGUCAAACCAUUGUGUAAUGGCAUUCGUCGGAAGGAGUGGACCAAAGCACAGCGUGGCGCAGCUGCAGAUGUUUGUGAAACAAGAACUGAUUUCAUCACGUGGACCCCCAAACAAUGUGUAAUUGUCCGUGUCCCGUGAGAUGAUGACUUCCUCACCAAGGCUCUGGACACAAUAAACCGAUUCUGGGCCAAGUAUAUCUACAACAAGAUGGUUGGCACAGCCCAUUUACAAGGUACAAACUCUAGGUUGUGAUAUAGGUCUACUGUAUAUUUAUUUCAUAUACUGUAACUGAUAGAAUAAGAGAUUGGGAAUAAGUUAAGAAAACCAAGACUAUGGGCUGAAUUCAAUCCGUAUCGAGGAAGAUCCACCUUUUAUUAGCUCGUCUGAAAUGUAAAGGCCAUGUUCCCGUGUUCGCGGAGACUGCAUUCGCGUUAAACGCUGCAUAUGUCGGCUCAAUCGGAAAUUACCUUUGCAUUUUAAUACGGAUCUUCCGCGAUACGGAUUGAAUACAGCCUUAUAUCUGGUUCCACGCUGGCUGUAAAAAAACAUCAACAACCAAAAACAAUUGACGGUGAUGCGUUUCCUUCUUAGGAGACAGACUCCAGUCUACAGACAGUCCAGGGUGGAAUACAGUGCAGAGAGGAAGAAUGGGAAGCUGGUACAUGAAGAAAAGUUAGGAAUAGAGUAGUUCAGUCGAAGGACUCAACCCUGAAUCAUGUAAUCGGUCUGGUGAAGAAAAAAAAAAAGAUUGGCAUUUCAGGACCCUUUUUAGGCAUCCCUUUGGCUGUCACAUUCAUUUGUAUUCUUGUAAACAACACUAUCAGACAUGUUCACCAUUGCAGCACAUACGUGUAGUAUGUUGUCAACCAUCGUCUCUUCUCGCUUGUCAACUUCAUCCCUAAGGGUUCUUCAAGAAGCACAGUGGAUGUUCCCCAUGGAGGAUAUGGAAUAUUCCCUUCAGGACACCGUUUCACCCUCUCUAUAGAAUAAGAAUCACCUCUAAUCGCCAUGUACAUACAUUUGACCUGGUGAAAUGGUGCUACAGUGUAUACAAUAGACAGAAUAUGGACAGAACUUACCCAUAGUCUAAUUGUAGUACAUACACAUAAUACACAAUAGUAAGUAAUUUAAGUAAAAAUGUAUACAAUGUAAAGUGUGUGGGUGCAAAUAGCUAAUGCAGUUGAUGAGUUGUCAGAGAUAUACACUGACUGUACAAAUCAUUAAGAAAACCUGCCAUGACAUACACUGACCAGGUGAAUGCAGGUGAAAGCUAUGCCAUCUUAUUAAUGUCACUUGUUAAAUCCUAUUAAAUCAGUGUAGAUGAAGAGGAGGAGACAGGUUAAGCACCUUUGAAGGGGGUAUGGUAGUACGU